AAGCAAGGGAAGGUCAAAGCUACCGCUCUUAGACUUGCUGGAAAGGACUGAGAUUCUUGAUGGGAAGUCACAUCUAAAGAUAAAAAACACCUGUCUGCAAAUUCUUCGAGGCUUUUUAACAAGGGCCAGGAAUGUUAGCUACAUGAUGUGAUUUGUCCCAUCCUGAGAGCAAUCACCUGGCUUGGGACGCUCCAAUUCCCUUUUUAAGUAACCAUCUGUUGGUGUCACUGAGGGGAGAGAGAGAAGCUGUAGUAGUGGAAAGAACACAGCCUACUGAGUCAAGCAGAUCAGAGGUUUACUCAUGUCUCUACCAGUUUCCAGCUGUUACAACCUGGCAGAGCUGCCUCCCUGUUCCCGGACACAGUGGAAGAGCAUUCACCUGCUUUACCACCGAGUGUCUCCCAGGCCCAGAGCUGGCGCCACGGUCACCAUUUUCUGAUGGAUCCUUUGAGAGGAAUCUGGGAAGAGUCAGGGCUGGGCUCCAAGUUCAGUCGUUUUGGCUGUUGCUGCUGUUGUCCAAUUCUGCUUUGUUUUGUGGAUGUUUAGAUUUCUCAACUUAGCCACGAAGUGUCAAUUUUCCCUAAACCUACACUCAAAGAUAUUGGCAUUUUUUCCAUUUCAGAAAUGUAUGUCUAGUUGCAGUUUUGUUUCACACUUGAGGAUCUCUUAUCUUCCUACGAUCUAGAGUGAUAAAUCCCAAUCCUGGAAGCAUAUUAAAAUCAGCUUUC
This 728-nucleotide long non-coding RNA is filed under the name Equus caballus (horse). Its description in RNAcentral is "lncRNA (ENSECAG00000048225.1)". The record is from RNAcentral. Lineage: Eukaryota; Metazoa; Chordata; Mammalia; Perissodactyla; Equidae.